Molecule: ribosomal RNA, 478 nt
Filed under: uncultured Marinomonas sp.
Lineage: Bacteria; Pseudomonadati; Pseudomonadota; Gammaproteobacteria; Oceanospirillales; Oceanospirillaceae
Description: bacterial SSU rRNA
Rfam family: Bacterial small subunit ribosomal RNA
Source: RNAcentral
AAACGCAUGCUAAUACCGCAUACGCCCUACGGGGGAAAGGAGGGGAUCUUCGGACCUUUCGCUAUUAGAUGAGCCUGCGUGAGAUUAGCUAGUUGGUGGGGUAAAGGCUCACCAAGGCGACGAUCUCUAGCUGGUCUGAGAGGAUGAUCAGCCACACUGGGACUGAGACACGGCCCAGACUCCUACGGGAGGCAGCAGUGGGGAAUAUUGGACAAUGGGGGCAACCCUGAUCCAGCCAUGCCGCGUGUGUGAAGAAGGCCUUAGGGUUGUAAAGCACUUUCAGAGGUGAGGAAGGUUAUGCGGUUAAUACCCGUAUAAUUUGACGUUAGCCUCAGAAGAAGCACCGGCUAACUCUGUGCCAGCAGCCGCGGUAAUACAGAGGGUGCGAGCGUUAAUCGGAAUUACUGGGCGUAAAGCGCGCGUAGGCGGUUUGUUAAGUCGGAUGUGAAAUCCCAGGGCUCAACCUUGGAAUGGCACC